GAUGAAGAACGUAGCGAAAUGCGAUAAGUAAUGUGAAUUGCAGAAUUCAGUGAAUCAUCGAAUCUUUGAACGCACCUUGCGCUCCUUGGUAUUCCGAGGAGCAUGCCUGUUUGAGUGUCAUGAAAUUCUCAACCUUUCUGGCUUUUGCUAGUCAGGCUUGGAUUAUGGGAGCUGCUGGCUUUUGAAGUCGGCUCUUCUAAAAUGUAUUAGCAAGAUCAUUGCUGCUCAUCAUUGGUAUGAUAAUUAUCUAUAUCAUUGAGAGUCAGUUUCCUUUAUUGGAAGAUUUUGCACCUAACGGUCUUUAGCAAGACAACAUUUGACGAUUUUGACCUCAAAUCAGGUAGGACUACCCGCUGAACUUAAGCAUAUCAAUAAGCGGAGGA
RNAcentral lists this unclassified non-coding RNA (383 nucleotides) under soil metagenome. Its description in RNAcentral is "partial contains 5.8S ribosomal RNA, internal transcribed spacer 2, and large subunit ribosomal RNA". The stretch from base 1 to 120 matches the Rfam family "5.8S ribosomal RNA", at positions 35 to 154 of the family's 154-position model. The record is from RNAcentral.